Long non-coding RNA from Dermacentor andersoni, 668 nucleotides. RefSeq lists it as uncharacterized. NCBI's taxonomy places the organism in Eukaryota, Metazoa, Arthropoda, Arachnida, Ixodida, Ixodidae. The record is from RefSeq and is a predicted model, not a curated record.
CUUUUCAAGUUGUAUUCAGCGGGUGCCACAGCUGCCAGUUAUUUCAAUGAUUUGAAAUUAGUGCCAUUGCAUUUUUCAUCUAAGUAUGUACAUGUAUGCUGUAAUUUUAAUGCCCUGACCUUUUGUUUUUUCUAGCUCUUCAUGCCUACAGGGAGUACUUGAGCCAGUACAGCGAGUACUUGAAGAGGGCAGUGUUCAAUUACCGGCUGAGUCGUGCAAGGAGGCUCAUAGAAAACAGUUUUGGUAUCCUGGCAAGUAGGUGGCGAAUACUGAAGAGACCUUUUCGAGCGUCAGAAGAAACCACUGAGAACAUUGUAAGGGCAUGUGUGGCGCUUCACAAUUUUCUGAUGAAAGAUUCAGCGUUCUCAAGGACAACGUACAACCCUCCUGGAUUUGUUGACCAUGAAGACUGGGAGGGAAAUGUCACAAAUGGGGCAUGGAGGAACGACAGUAGUGCCCUUCCUGGAUGGACAGACCAGGGGUACCACUCUGCUCGGGCUGCAUUGGAAGUAAGGGAUAGACUGGCAUCCUACUUCAUGAGUGACGGCCAGGUGCCAUGGCAGGAAAGUGUCGUGACCCGUGCAGGACGGCAGGAAAUGUGAACCAUGCCAGUACCGAGAGGAAGGUCCCUUGGAUGCUCGCCUUUUGGCAGACCUGCAGGACAGGCC